RNAcentral lists this ribosomal RNA (433 nucleotides) under uncultured bacterium. RNAcentral describes it as "partial 16S ribosomal RNA". It matches the Rfam family "Bacterial small subunit ribosomal RNA", at positions 29 to 507 of the family's 1533-position model. The record is from RNAcentral.
AGCGAACGCUGGCGGCAGGCUUAACACAUGCAAGUCGAGCGGGCCCUUCGGGGUCAGCGGCCGACGGGUGAGUAACACGUGGGAACGUACCCUUUGGUUCGGAAUAACGCUGGGAAACUAGCGCUAAUACCGGAUACGCCCUUUUGGGGAAAGGCUUGCUGCCGAAGGAUCGGCCCGCGUCUGAUUAGCUAGUUGGUGGGGUAAUGGCCUACCAAGGCGACGAUCAGUAGCUGGUCUGAGAGGAUGAUCAGACACACUGGGACUGAGACACGGCCCAGACUCCUACGGGAGGCAGGAGUGGGGAAUAUUGGACAAUGGGCGCAAGCCUGAUCCAGCCAUGCCGCGUGAGUGAUGAAGGCCUUAGGGUUGUAAAGCUCUUUUGUCCGGGACGAUAAUGACGGUACCGGAAGAAUAAGCCCCGGCUAACUUCGUG